RNAcentral lists this microRNA (20 nucleotides) under Pteropus alecto (black flying fox). RNAcentral describes it as "pal-miR-378e-3p". Its record names the gene pal-miR-378d-3p. Lineage: Eukaryota; Metazoa; Chordata; Mammalia; Chiroptera; Pteropodidae. The record is from miRBase by way of RNAcentral.
ACUGGACUAGGAGUCAGAAA